AGCGUUAUUUAGAACAAUCCUCUUCUCAAAUUCUGGACCAUUCUUCGCCACAAACUGUGCAGUCUUGUCGACAAUACUCCUAAUAUCUGGAGGCGGAUAAAUGAUACCAAUGGUUCUCGUAUGUGUUGCAACAGAUGUUGGAACAUUGUUGGCUUUAUUGUUGUCCUCUUCAUUUUCCUCCAUGUUAUCAUCCUUUGGUUCCUUGAGGAAAUGGUUCUAGACGUUGGAACAUUAUUGGCUUUAUUGCUGUCCUCUUCAUUUUCCUCCAUGUUAUCAUCCUUUGGUUCCUCUACCACCUGCGCCGGAGGUGUUGGUCCAAGAUUCCCAUCCAACGGGGGCGCUGGAAGGGGUAAU
This 354-nucleotide long non-coding RNA is filed under the name Nicotiana benthamiana. Its description in RNAcentral is "long non-coding RNA (NBEN_LNC028512)". Lineage: Eukaryota; Viridiplantae; Streptophyta; Magnoliopsida; Solanales; Solanaceae. The record is from RNAcentral.